GACGAACGCUGGCGGCGUGCUUAACACAUGCAAGUCGAACGGAAAGGCCCUGCCUUUGUGGGGUGCUCGAGUGGCGAACGGGUGAGUAACACGUGGGUAACCUGCCCUUGACUUUGGGAUAACUUCAGGAAACUGGGGCUAAUACCGGAUAGGAGCUCCUGCUGCAUGGUGGGGGUUGGAAAGUUUCGGCGGUUGGGGAUGGACUCGCGGCUUAUCAGCUUGUUGGUGGGGUAGUGGCUUACCAAGGCUUUGACGGGUAGCCGGCCUGAGAGGGUGACCGGCCACAUUGGGACUGAGAUACGGCCCAGACUCCUACGGGAGGCAGCAGUGGGGAAUAUUGCACAAUGGGCGGAAGCCUGAUGCAGCAACGCCGCGUGCGGGAUGACGGCCUUCGGGUUGUAAACCGCUUUCGCCUGUGACGAAGCGUGAGUGACGGUAAUGGGUAAAGAAGCACCGGCUAACUACGUG
RNAcentral lists this ribosomal RNA (468 nucleotides) under uncultured bacterium. RNAcentral describes it as "partial 16S ribosomal RNA". It matches the Rfam family "Bacterial small subunit ribosomal RNA", at positions 28 to 507 of the family's 1533-position model. The record is from RNAcentral.